AGAGUUUGAUCCUGGCUCAGGAUGAACGCUGGCGGCGUGCUUAACACAUGCAAGUCGAGCGAUGAAGUUUCCUUCGGGAAACGGAUUAGCGGCGGACGGGUGAGUAACACGUGGGUAACCUGCCUCAUAGAGUGGAAUAGCCUUCCGAAAGGAAGAUUAAUACCGCAUAAUGUUGAAAGAUGGCAUCAUCAUUUAACCAAAGGAGCAAUCCGCUAUGAGAUGGACCCGCGGCGCAUUAGCUAGUUGGUGGGGUAACGGCCUACCAAGGCGACGAUGCGUAGCCGACCUGAGAGGGUGAUCGGCCACAUUGGGACUGAGACACGGCCCAGACUCCUACGGGAGGCAGCAGUGGGGAAUAUUGCACAAUGGGGGAAACCCUGAUGCAGCAACGCCGCGUGAGUGAUGAAGGUUUUCGGAUCGUAAAGCUCUGUCUUUGGGGAAGAUAAUGACGGUACCCAAGGAGGAAGCCACGGCUAACUACGUGCCAGCAGCCGCGGUAAUACGUAGGUGGCGAGCGUUAUCCGGAUUUACUGGGCGUAAAGGGAGCGUAGGCGGAUGAUUAAGUGGGAUGUGAAAUACCCGGGCUCAACUUGGGUGCUGCAUUCCAAACUGGUUAUCUAGAGUGCAGGAGAGGAGAGUGGAAUUCCUAGUGUAGCGGUGAAAUGCGUUGAGAUUAGGAAGAACACCAGUGGCGAAGGCGACUCUCUGGACUGUAACUGACGCUGAGGCUCGAAAGCGUGGGGAGCAAACAAGAUUAGAUUCCCUGGUAGUCCACGCCGUAAACGAUGAAUACUAGGUGUGGGGGUUUCAACACCUCCGUGCCGCCGCUAACGCAUUAAGUAUUCCGCCUGGGGAGUACGGUCGCAAGUAUUAAAACUCAAAGGAACUGACGGGGACCCGCACAAGUAGCGGAGCAUGUGGUUUAAUUCGAAGCAACGCGAAGAACCUUACCUACACUUGACAUCCCUUGCAUUACUCUUAAUCGAGGAAAUCCCUUCGGGGACAAGGUGACAGGUGGUGCAUGGUUGUCGUCAGCUCGUGUCGUGAGAUGUUGGGUUAAGUCCCGCAACGAGCGCAACCCUUGUCGUUAGUUACUACCAUUAAGUUGAGGACUCUAGCGAGACUGCCUGGGUUAACCAGGAGGAAGGUGGGGAUGACGUCAAAUCAUCAUGCCCCUUAUGUGUAGGGCUACACACGUGCUACAAUGGCUGGUACAGAGAGAUGCAAUACCGCGAGGUGGAGCCAAACUUAAAAACCAGUCUCAGUUCGGAUUGUAGGCCGAAACUCGCCUACAUGAAGCUGGAGUUACUAGUAAUCGCGAAUCAGAAUGCCGCGGUGAAUACGAUCCCGGGUCUUGCACUCACCGCCCGUCA
This 1373-nucleotide ribosomal RNA is filed under the name uncultured bacterium. Its description in RNAcentral is "16S ribosomal RNA". It matches the Rfam family "Bacterial small subunit ribosomal RNA". The record is from RNAcentral.